Molecule: long non-coding RNA, 1284 nt
Organism: Austrofundulus limnaeus
Lineage: Eukaryota; Metazoa; Chordata; Actinopteri; Cyprinodontiformes; Rivulidae
Exons: 2
Source: RefSeq, a predicted model, not a curated record
GUAGGUCCCAUGCGGGGCUUGUUUGUGUUGUUUCUGGUAUGUCUUAUAGUGUAUUUGGAGAGGGGGUGGGGGGAAUGUAAGAAGUCAUCCUAAUUACUUCUAAUUAAUUACUAAUUAUUAUUAUUGGGCUUUAAUGUGUUAAAAACAUACAAAUUACCAGUUGGACUGGAUUAAAUUUAUGACUGAAUGUUAAUUAUAAGAGGUUUAACCAUAUUUAGUGCUCAUAUUGUUUGCAGCAAAUAACUAAAUCUAUUUACUUGAUUAAAUUUAAUAAAUUACAGUCAUUUUUGUGUUUGGUAUGAUAAAAAUGUAUUAAUGUAAACAUUUGUCGUUCUUGUAGGAGUACAUUUCAUCACCUUCCUAAACAAACUGCCUAACAGUUAAUUUGUAGAGAAGAAUCUGAGGUUUUAAAAAUGUAAACCAGACAUUUGAAAAAUGGUUUUAAGUUUAAAAUAGAGAAAACUUUGAGGUCUGCUUUAAAAUCUGCACUUGACCUCCAUCUUUUUUACUCGUGCCGUUGGCAGAACUUUUAAAUAAAAGUAACUUUUUCUUUAUUAUCUUAAAUUGUUGUUUUGUUAUGUUUUUAACAGAAUCAAACAAUAAAUGGCUGAAAUAAAAACUUUUUUUUUGUUUCUGUUCACCGUGAUGCUGUGUUCAGAUGGUUACAAUCAUCACUUCAGAAGAACUUCAGUUUUUUAUAUUUGUUUAGUUUGUUGGUCAUCGUCUCAACUCUUUUUGUUUCUGGUGAAGUUUAGCAGCAGAUUCAAAAGGACCACCUGCUCUUUUGUUUGGUUAGUUUGAGGGUGGUCGUGGGCGGAGCCUCAGUGUUUCCUCUUCAGGCUCUUUCAUUAUUGACAAUUUAUUAUAUUCAAUGUUCUGAUCAGAGCUGAGACCAUGAGAGAUGAUUUAUGAUAAAUAAAAGAUGAAGAACAGGCUGGAACCAGCAGUUUUCACUAAAGUGAGGAUUUCUUCUCUUUAACUCAUUAAUGUGUCUAAAGCAAACUUUUAAUUUUUUGUCUCCUGUUUGUUUUCUAAAAUUACCAGUCCUCUUGUCUCCAACCGACCAGCUUCUGUUUGAUACCAAGUAAAAACAAACAAUCCUGUUUGUUUACAGAGGAGUGGUCUGCCAACUGAAGGUGUGGUGUGUGUUUUUUCAGUUGAAGAAAAGGAGAGCGGUUUUACUGAGGAAGCACGUGGAGGAACUGACAGUUAAAGACUGUUACAGCAUUUAUCUGAUGAACAGAAAACAAACACAAGUCGCACAAUAAAACUCUCAUAUCAGCC